This 483-nucleotide ribosomal RNA is filed under the name Triticum aestivum (bread wheat). Its description in RNAcentral is "partial small subunit ribosomal RNA". Lineage: Eukaryota; Viridiplantae; Streptophyta; Magnoliopsida; Poales; Poaceae. The record is from RNAcentral.
GAACUAAUAAAUUUGCUCGCUGUUGCAAUCAGGUCUGAAAUCAUUAGAAAGGUAAAAGAAGCAAAGUACUUCUCUGUUUUACUUGACUGUACUCCCGAUGCAAGCCACCAAGAGCAGAUGUCUUUGAUAAUUAGGUAUGUUGAUGCAUCUUCUGGUUCUUUUUGCAUUGAGGAAUCAUUCUUAGGUUUUUUGGAUGUGAAUGAUACCACCGGGCAAGGAUUGUUUGAUGUUCUAAAAAAUGAAUUGAAAAGUCUUGACCUUGAUAUUGAUAAUCUGAGAGGGCAGGGAUAUGAUAAUGGGUCAAAUAUGAAAGGAAGACAUCAAGGGGUAAAAAGUAAAGUUUUGAAAAUAAACCGGAGAGCUUUUUAUUCGGCUUGUGGUUGCCAUAGUCUAAAUUUGACAUUAUGUGAUAUGGCAAAGUCUUGUCGUAAAGCAUCUGAUUUUUUUUGGCAUUAUUCAACGCAUCUACACAACAUUUGCUAA